GACGAACGCUGGCGGCGUGCCUAAUACAUGCAAGUUGAGCGAUGAAGAUUGGUGUUUGCACCAAUUUGAAGAGCAGCGAACGGGUGAGUAACGCGUGGGGAAUCUGCCUUUGAGCGGGGGACAACAUUUGGAAACGAAUGCUAAUACCGCAUAACAACUUUAAACAUAAGUUUUAAGUUUGAAAGAUGCAAUUGCAUCACUCAAAGAUGAUCCCGCGUUGUAUUAGCUAGUUGGUGAGGUAAAGGCUCACCAAGGCGAUGAUACAUAGCCGACCUGAGAGGGUGAUCGGCCACAUUGGGACUGAGACACGGCCCAAACUCCUACGGGAGGCAGCAGUAGGGAAUCUUCGGCAAUGGACGAAAGUCUGACCGAGCAACGCCGCGUGAGUGAAGAAGGUUUUCGGAUCGUAAAACUCUGUUGGUAGAGAAGAACGUUGGUGAGAGUGGAAAGCUCAUCAAGUGACGGUAACUACCCAGAAAGGGACGGCUAACUACGUG
This 497-nucleotide ribosomal RNA is filed under the name uncultured bacterium. Its description in RNAcentral is "partial 16S ribosomal RNA". It matches the Rfam family "Bacterial small subunit ribosomal RNA", at positions 28 to 507 of the family's 1533-position model. The record is from RNAcentral.